Molecule: ribosomal RNA, 500 nt
Filed under: uncultured Glomeromycotina
Lineage: Eukaryota; Fungi; Glomeromycota
Description: partial small subunit ribosomal RNA
Rfam family: Eukaryotic small subunit ribosomal RNA
Source: RNAcentral
CCAAUAGCGUAUAUUAAAGUUGUUGCAGUUAAAAAGCUCGUAGUUGAAUUUUAGGCCUGGCCGGGCGGUCCGUCUUUGGCGAGUACUGUCCUGUGUCGGGUCCACCUUCUGGUGAACCAGUAUGUCCUUUAUUGGGUGUGCCGGGGAGCCAGGACCAUUACCUUGAAAAAAUUAGAGUGUUUAAAGCAGGCAUUUGCUUGAAUAGAUUAGCAUGGAAUAAUAGAAUAGGACGUUGUGGUUCUAUUUUGUUGGUUUCUAGGACCACCGUAAUGAUUAAUAGGGAUAGUUGGGGGCAUUAGUAUUCAAUUGUCAGAGGUGAAAUUCUUGGAUUUAUUGAAGACUAACUAUUGCGAAAGAAUUUGCCAAGGAUGUUUUCAUUAAUCAAGAACGAAAGUUAGGGGAUCGAAGACGAUCAGAUACCGUCGUAGUCUUAACCAUAAACUAUGCCGACUAGGGAUCGGAUGAUGUUAAUUUUAUAAUUACUCAUUCGGCGCCUUACG